GAUGAACAGAGUCUUACCACUUAAAAAUCAUUAGGCCUUUUGCAAAGGGCUAGGAGGCCCACGAGGUCCUUCACUGCUUUCUAUGAAGGCCAUUUCAGCUGAGUCAGAAGCUAUUCACCACUUAAAGCUCUGACGUCCUGUGACAGCUAAAAAGCCUGAAGUCUCCAGCCUGCCAAAGCCCCUCUUAUUCAUGGCUCCACAUUCAGGGCGGGCAUCCCCGGCCACAACCACCACCGGCCUCAUUAUAGGCCUGCAGUGGCCAUCUCCUCACAGGGAUUUUCCCAACAGUUUGCCCAAAAUAUUGACCACUCUUAGUCAUACAAAAAUAAGGAUAACUUUUUGUUACAGUCAAAAGUUGAACAUGUUUUGUUGAUUUUCUCAGUGAAAAGAAGUUAACACAUCCUCUACAGAAAACAUACUUCUGCACAUUUUAAUGCACAAUGACUGGUAAUUUGGCCCCUGUCAA
Molecule: long non-coding RNA, 466 nt
Organism: Colossoma macropomum (tambaqui)
Lineage: Eukaryota; Metazoa; Chordata; Actinopteri; Characiformes; Serrasalmidae
Exons: 3
Source: RefSeq, a predicted model, not a curated record